CAAGUCAGAAACUUUAAGGCUUUAAAGGAGGUGCUAGUUGCUACAAGAGAAGAAGCAGGCAAAACCCACAAGCUAGUUCCCAUUCUACUCUCUGGACACAGCACAUCCUGAAGACAGAGUGAGAAAGCAGAGAAAGACCACACUGUGGGGAGACUGGUCCAUGCUCCUGAGGGGCCGAAAUACAGAAGGGGCGGGUGAGAGUACUGUGACCCAUGACAGAGACUGUGCCUUCUGGGCAGCAGGGAGACACACUCCACCAUAGGAAGGUCGGAAAGAGGAAGAGACAGCACGUUCACGACAGGAGCGGGGCUUUUCCAAUCAGGACUCCAACCAAUACUGGGCUACUGUGAGGUGAUAAAACCUAGGUCGCUUGGAGUUGGCCCAUGGUCAGGUGCAACGGCUCAUGGGAGCUCUGGAUGGGCCAGAACACGGACAGUCUGAGGAUGCAAAGUUCUGAGAGUGCCUGUCCCGCGUGCAGCUCAACCCAAGCCAACUGGAAAGAAAAUAGCAUGAUUCCCCAGCAUGAUAGAUGGGAAACCAAAUGUGCUGGCAGUCAUAUAUCUAAAGGAAUAUUCAUAGCAAGAUAUUGGUACAGUAGGAUCAAAGGUGAAUUUUUUUAAACCUUUUAAAUUAAUGCUUUGUUCCAUUUUUCAAAUAUUCUUUAAAUACUCUGUACUACUUUUAUACUGAAAAAUACAUAAAAAAGCUAAAUACAUAAAAAAUACAUAAAAAGCUAACGUAGACUUAAUAAAAAAACAACCACCACCACAACAAUACUAGUAAUUUUCUUUUCAGAUAGUGCCAGGCCCUGUUUGUUCCAAGCACUUUACGUGCAUCAGCUCAUGUAAUCCUCUCUACAAUUCCAUGAGGUAAAUCUCAUUGUUAAUCUGUUUUACAAACAAGGAAGCCAUAACUUUAUAUAGAAAAACUUAUUUAAGUUCACAUCCUGAUGAGCACAGGUGGU
This is a non-coding RNA of Sus scrofa (pig), 964 nucleotides long. Lineage: Eukaryota; Metazoa; Chordata; Mammalia; Artiodactyla; Suidae. The record is from RefSeq and is a predicted model, not a curated record.